CUCUGCUUGUCUGAGAGUCUUCUGUGCAGCAAUGGCUUGGUUCUUCUGAGAGGGACUCUCAGCUUUUCUUGGUUCUAAAGUGACCUGUACUUGGAAUCUGUCAUUGAAUCUCCCUUCCAUGUGUCUGGCCGAGCUUCCCCAUGAGCUGCAGGAAUGGGCACAAUGUAAAAGGUCCCGAGAAGAAUUUCUCUCCCCCACCAUCCAUCCACCUUGAAUCCUCAUCCACUAAGUAAAACAUGUUCUGCACAUAA
This 251-nucleotide long non-coding RNA is filed under the name Rattus norvegicus (Norway rat). Its description in RNAcentral is "long non-coding RNA NONRATT021418". Lineage: Eukaryota; Metazoa; Chordata; Mammalia; Rodentia; Muridae. The record is from RNAcentral.